This 135-nucleotide transfer RNA is filed under the name Candidatus Woesearchaeota archaeon. Its description in RNAcentral is "tRNA-Leu". It matches the Rfam family "tRNA". Rfam says of the family: Transfer RNA (tRNA) molecules are approximately 80 nucleotides in length. Their secondary structure includes four short double-helical elements and three loops (D, anti-codon, and T loops). Further hydrogen bonds mediate the characteristic L-shaped molecular structure. tRNAs have two regions of fundamental functional importance: the anti-codon, which is responsible for specific mRNA codon recognition, and the 3' end, to which the tRNAs corresponding amino acid is attached (by aminoacyl-tRNA synthetases). tRNAs cope with the degeneracy of the genetic code in two manners: having more than one tRNA (with a specific anti-codon) for a particular amino acid; and 'wobble' base-pairing, i.e. permitting non-standard base-pairing at the 3rd anti-codon position. The record is from RNAcentral. Lineage: Archaea; Nanobdellati; Candidatus Woesearchaeota.
GCGGGGGUUCCAGAGUGGCCAAAUGGGACAGGACUCAAGCACUCUGAGGCUUUAGCCUAUCCAUCAUUCGAUUAUGAAUGGUUGAGAUAUCUGUUGGCUUAGUGCCUUCGUGGGUUCGAAUCCUACCCCCCCGCA